RNAcentral lists this ribosomal RNA (157 nucleotides) under Steinernema abbasi. RNAcentral describes it as "5.8S ribosomal RNA". The record is from RNAcentral. Lineage: Eukaryota; Metazoa; Nematoda; Chromadorea; Rhabditida; Steinernematidae.
CUAUUCGAAAAAACAGUCACAGCUGACUGCAAGUAACAAGUUAAUCAACCCUCAAUUAAGUGUACUAACAGAUAUAAACCUGUUAGUGCCAUUUGCGUUCAAAAUUUUAGCGCUCAAUAUGUCUGCAAUUCACGCUACAUAACGGUUCUAGCCCCGU